Molecule: transfer RNA, 76 nt
Filed under: Neoroseomonas lacus
Lineage: Bacteria; Pseudomonadati; Pseudomonadota; Alphaproteobacteria; Acetobacterales; Acetobacteraceae
Description: tRNA-Leu
Source: RNAcentral
UGAGGUGUAGCGGACGUCGCGCGGCCGCUCAGGCCGGCCGCCGCGCCGGGCCCAGAUCCGCGUCAGGGUGCCUUGC